UGUAGCUCAGUGGUAGAGCACUUGCCUAGUAUGCAUGAGCUCCUGGGCUCAAUCCCUAGUA
RNAcentral lists this transfer RNA (61 nucleotides) under Fukomys damarensis (Damara mole-rat). It matches the Rfam family "tRNA", at positions 6 to 65 of the family's 71-position model. Rfam says of the family: Transfer RNA (tRNA) molecules are approximately 80 nucleotides in length. Their secondary structure includes four short double-helical elements and three loops (D, anti-codon, and T loops). Lineage: Eukaryota; Metazoa; Chordata; Mammalia; Rodentia; Bathyergidae. The record is from Rfam by way of RNAcentral.